This 84-nucleotide transfer RNA is filed under the name Mycobacteroides abscessus subsp. abscessus. RNAcentral describes it as "tRNA-Glu(ttc)". Lineage: Bacteria; Bacillati; Actinomycetota; Actinomycetes; Mycobacteriales; Mycobacteriaceae. The record is from RNAcentral.
GACGCGUGCGCGACGGACGGAGAUGCGCGCCGCGCUUUCACUGCGGCGUGGCUCGAGGGGCUGUUCACGACUGUCACGAGUGCC